UUUUUCAUUUUUAAACUUUGUAUACAGAAUUUUGUGUUUCGAAUAAAGACCAAAUAAACCUUGAUAAUGUUAUGCCUUUUGUCUAUAGAUAACAAUUGCUAUUUUUCUUUUUAAUUUAAGACGGUUUUAACGAUGUCUAUUUAAUUUAAUGAUAUUUAAAAAAUAAAUAAAAAACACUUUAGUUUUAAUUAUUAUUCCACACCUUUUGUUACUAAAAUUUAGUUUUUGGGGUAUGGGUUUACCCAGUUUCACUUCAUGCACCACCCUUUUUAAACUUUUUGUACAGUUAGACUCUAAUAAUACUUGCUGCACCCCUAUACCCAUAUUGCACACAUCGCACUUAUUUUAUUUUGCUGUUGGUCCGGGCCACAUUUCUUUUCUCUAUCACUCUGCCUUUAUUUUGCCGUUGGGCGGCAUUUAUGUCAACCUGCAACCCGUGCUCCUUCUGCAUGCACCGCAUCCCCUUUAAUUCAUUGUUUCGUUUUUUCUCACUACACUCACACUUGCUCAUGCACUCCCAUAUUUUUAUUUUUAGUUUUCUCCUUGUUUUUUUUUUUCCAAUUGCACUAUAUAUUUCACACACGCACCCCUAUUUUUAUUUUUCUCACCUAAAACAAGUUAGGUUUUAUUUUUCUCUCACCCCACUUACUCUGGCAUCUCACUUUUCUAUAAAUAAUAGAAAUAUUAA
RNAcentral lists this long non-coding RNA (688 nucleotides) under Vigna radiata. RNAcentral describes it as "long non-coding RNA (VRAD_LNC009391)". The record is from RNAcentral. Lineage: Eukaryota; Viridiplantae; Streptophyta; Magnoliopsida; Fabales; Fabaceae.